UACGUAGGGUGCGAGCGUUGUCCGGAAUUAUUGGGCGUAAAGGGCUCGUAGGCGGUUUGUCGCGUCUGCCGUGAAAGUCCGGGGCUCAACUCCGGAUCUGCGGUGGGUACGGGCAGACUAGAGUGAUGUAGGGGAGACUGGAAUUCCUGGUGUAGCGGUGAAAUGCGCAGAUAUCAGGAGGAACACCGGUGGCGAAGGCGGGUCUCUGGGCCGAUACUGACGCUGAGGAGCGAAAGCGUGGGGAGCGAACAGG
RNAcentral lists this ribosomal RNA (253 nucleotides) under uncultured bacterium. RNAcentral's name for it is "partial 16S ribosomal RNA". It matches the Rfam family "Bacterial small subunit ribosomal RNA", at positions 524 to 776 of the family's 1533-position model. The record is from RNAcentral.